Acanthosepion pharaonis is the source of this 112-nucleotide non-coding RNA. The record is from the annotation of a GenBank genome assembly. NCBI's taxonomy places the organism in Eukaryota, Metazoa, Mollusca, Cephalopoda, Sepiida, Sepiidae.
UACAGCGAUAUCACGUUGAAACACGGCUCCCCUUAGGAUCACCGCAGUUAAGCAACGUCAAGCUUUGUCAGAACUUAGAUGGGUGACCACUUGGAAAUACCAUGUGCCGUAA